Molecule: small nuclear RNA, 105 nt
Organism: Dipodomys ordii (Ord's kangaroo rat)
Lineage: Eukaryota; Metazoa; Chordata; Mammalia; Rodentia; Heteromyidae
Source: Ensembl
GUGCUCUCUUGGGCAGCACAUACACUAAAAUUGGAAGGGUACAGAGAUUAGCAUGGCCCCGGUGCAGGGAAUGAUAAGGAAAUUUGUAAAGUGUGCCCUGUUUUA